GAAAUGCGAUAAGUAGUGUGAAUUGCAGAAUUUAGCGAAUCAUCGAAUCUUUGAACGCACAUUGCGCCCCUUGGUAUUCCAUGGGGCAUGCCUGUUCGAGCGUCAUUUCAACCCUCAAGCACUGCUUGGUGUUGGGCGUUUGUCCCGCCUACGCGCGUGGACUCGCCUCAAAGUCAUUGGCGGCUGUUCCCCUUCGGCUCGUAAGCGCAGCACAGUCGGCGCCCGGAGCUCUGGUGGGAUGGCGUCCAGCAAGCUAUAUUUCAGGCUUGACCUCGGAUCAGGUAGGGAUACCCGCUGAACUUAAGC
RNAcentral lists this unclassified non-coding RNA (306 nucleotides) under plant metagenome. RNAcentral describes it as "partial contains 5.8S ribosomal RNA, internal transcribed spacer 2, and large subunit ribosomal RNA". The stretch from base 1 to 105 matches the Rfam family "5.8S ribosomal RNA", at positions 50 to 154 of the family's 154-position model. The record is from RNAcentral.